This 170-nucleotide ribosomal RNA is filed under the name uncultured bacterium. RNAcentral's name for it is "partial 16S ribosomal RNA". It matches the Rfam family "Bacterial small subunit ribosomal RNA", at positions 338 to 505 of the family's 1533-position model. The record is from RNAcentral.
CCUACGGGAGGCAGCAGUGGGGAAUUUGGACAAUGGGGGAAAGCCUGAUCCAGCAAUGCCGCGUGUGUGAAGAAGGCCUUCGGGUGUAAAGCAAUUUUGUCCGGAAAGAAAUCGUGGAUUUAAUACAGUAGGGGGAGACGGUACCGGAAGAAUAGCACCGGCUAUUACUG